AGCAGUAGCCGCGGGAAAACGAAGGGUGCAAGCGUUACUCGGAAUUACUGGGCGUAAAGCGUGCGUAGGUGGUGGUUUAAGUCCGUUGUGAAAGCCCUGGGCUCAACCUGGGAAUUGCAGUGGAUACUGGGUCACUAGAGUGUGGUAGAGGAUAGUGGAAUUUCCGGUGUAGCAGUGAAAUGCGUAGAGAUCGGAAGGAACAUCUGUGGCGAAGGCGACUAUCUGGGCCAACACUGACACUGAGGCACGAAAGCGUGGGGAGCAAACAGGAUUAGAUACCCGGGUAGUCCCUGUCUCUUAUAC
This 303-nucleotide ribosomal RNA is filed under the name uncultured bacterium. Its description in RNAcentral is "partial 16S ribosomal RNA". It matches the Rfam family "Bacterial small subunit ribosomal RNA", at positions 507 to 807 of the family's 1533-position model. The record is from RNAcentral.